CACUCAUUUAAAGAGUGCGUAAUAGCUCACUAGUCGAGUGAUUGUGCGCCGAAAAUGUAACGGGGCUAAAAUUCAUACCGAAGCUUAGGCUUUGCACACUUUGUGUGCGAGGGGUAGAUGAGCGUUGUGUAAGUCUGCGAAGCUACACCGAAAGGAGUAGUGGAGAUAUCACAAGUGAGAAUGCCGGAAUGAGUAGCGAGAAUUAUGUGAGAAUCAUAAUGGUCGAAAAUCUAAGGUUUCUUGAGGAAGGUUCGUCCGCUCAAGGUAAGCCGGGAGCUAAGGCGAGGCCGAGAGGCGUAGUCGAUGCACAUACGGUAAAGAUUCCGUAGCCACCGAAGUCGUUAAAUACAGGGACACAGGAACAUAGCCUAACCCCACCGUUGGUUGAGUGGGGCGUAAGGGAGCGAAAAAUAGUAGCGAAGUAGGUGAUUGUACACUGGCGAGAAAAGCUGUAUGUAUUGAUAAGGUGCCCGUACCGCAAACCGACACAGGUAGAUGAGGAGAGAAUCCUAAGACCAGCGGGAGAAGUGUUGUUAAGGAACUCGGCAAAAUGACCCCGUAACUUCGGGAUAAGGGGAGCCUACGCGAGUAGGCCGCAGAGAAUAGUCUCAAGCGACUGUUUAGCAAAAACACAGGUCUAUGCUAAAUCGAAAGAUGAUGUAUAUGGGCUGACGCCUGCCCGGUGCUGGAAGGUUAAGGGGAAGUGUUAGAGCAAUCGAAGCACUGAACUUAAGCCCCAGUAAACGGCGGCCGUAACUAUAACGGUCCUAAGGUAGCGAAAUUCCUUGUCAGGUAAGUUCUGACCCGCACGAAUGGCGUAACGACUUGAGAGCUGUCUCAACAACAUACCCGGCGAAAUUGAAGUACUGGUAAAGAUGCCAGUUACCCGUGAUAAGACGGAAAGACCCCAUGGAGCUUUACUGUAACUUGAUAUUGAAUUUUUGUAUUACAUGUACAGGAUAGGUGGGAGACAGAGAACUAAUGCCGCCAGGUGUUAGGGAGUCGAUGUUGGGAUACCACUCUUGUAAUAUGAAGGUUCUAACCUGCACCCGUGAAUCCGGGUGGGGGACACUGUCAGGUGGACAGUUUGACUGGGGCGGUCGCCUCCUAAAAGGUAACGGAGG
This 1124-nucleotide ribosomal RNA is filed under the name human gut metagenome. Its description in RNAcentral is "bacterial LSU rRNA". It matches the Rfam family "Bacterial large subunit ribosomal RNA", at positions 1116 to 2306 of the family's 2925-position model. The record is from RNAcentral.